RNAcentral lists this ribosomal RNA (348 nucleotides) under uncultured bacterium. Its description in RNAcentral is "partial 16S ribosomal RNA". It matches the Rfam family "Bacterial small subunit ribosomal RNA", at positions 338 to 701 of the family's 1533-position model. The record is from RNAcentral.
CCUACGGGUGGCUGCAGUGGGGAAUAUUGGGCAAUGGGCGCAAGCCUGACCCAGCAACGCCGCGUGAAGGAAGAAGGCUCUCUGGUUGUAAACUUCUUUUGACAGGGGAGCGCAGAAGACGGUACCUGUCGAAUAAGCCACGGCUAACUACGUGCCAGCAGCGGCGGUAAUACGUAGGUGGCAAGCGUUGUCCGGAUUUACUGGGUGUAAAGGGCGUGUAGCCGGGCUGACAAGUCAGAUGUGAAAUCCGGGGGCUCAACCCCCGAACUGCAUUUUAAACUGUGGGUCUUGAGUAUCGGAGAGGCAGGCGGAAUUGCGAGUGUAGCGGUGAAAUGCGUAGAUAUUAGG